UACGAAGGGGGCUAGCGUUGCUCGGAAUUAUUGGGCGUAAAGCGCGUGUAGGCGGCUUUGCAAGUCGGGUGUGAAAUCCCUCAGCUUAACUGAGGAAGUGCGCCCGAAACUGCAGAGCUUGAGUACCGGAGAGGAUGGUGGAAUUCCCCAAGUAGAGGUGAAAUUCGUAGAUAUGGGGAGGAACACCGGUGGCGAAGGCGACCAUCUGGACGGAUACUGACGCUGAGACGCGAAAGCGUGGGGAGCAAACAGG
Molecule: ribosomal RNA, 253 nt
Filed under: uncultured bacterium
Lineage: Bacteria
Description: partial 16S ribosomal RNA
Rfam family: Bacterial small subunit ribosomal RNA
Source: RNAcentral